RNAcentral lists this non-coding RNA (29 nucleotides) under Mus musculus (house mouse). The record is from RNAcentral. Lineage: Eukaryota; Metazoa; Chordata; Mammalia; Rodentia; Muridae.
UGCAAUNGUGUCACUACACAACUUCCAGC